RNAcentral lists this unclassified non-coding RNA (225 nucleotides) under Suillellus luridus. RNAcentral's name for it is "partial internal transcribed spacer 2". Lineage: Eukaryota; Fungi; Basidiomycota; Agaricomycetes; Boletales; Boletaceae. The record is from RNAcentral.
AAUUCUCAACCAUGUCUUGAUCGAUUUCAAGGCCAUGGCUUGGAGUUGGGGGUUGCUGGCGGCGACGAGCUGUCGGCUCUCCUGAAAUGCAUUAGCAAAGGGCAGCAAGUCUUUGACGUGCACGGCCUUCGACGUGAUAAUGAUCGUCGUGGCUGGAGCGUCGGACAUGCAUGAAUAGGUCCUGUGCUUCUAAUCUCUCCCAUGCCUGACGGCGUGUGUUUCGAA